This is a small nucleolar RNA of Panicum virgatum (switchgrass), 107 nucleotides long. The record is from RefSeq and is a predicted model, not a curated record. Lineage: Eukaryota; Viridiplantae; Streptophyta; Magnoliopsida; Poales; Poaceae.
AUGCCGUGGUGGGGGCAUGCUGCAAUGUACUCCUGGAAUCUCUCCCAAGCUUCUAGAAUAACUUCAUCCGGCAGCUGCAGAAAUCCAAAGACUCUGCUUCGGAGGGC